Molecule: transfer RNA, 58 nt
Filed under: Dipodomys ordii (Ord's kangaroo rat)
Lineage: Eukaryota; Metazoa; Chordata; Mammalia; Rodentia; Heteromyidae
Rfam family: tRNA
About the family: Transfer RNA (tRNA) molecules are approximately 80 nucleotides in length. Their secondary structure includes four short double-helical elements and three loops (D, anti-codon, and T loops). Further hydrogen bonds mediate the characteristic L-shaped molecular structure. tRNAs have two regions of fundamental functional importance: the anti-codon, which is responsible for specific mRNA codon recognition, and the 3' end, to which the tRNAs corresponding amino acid is attached (by aminoacyl-tRNA synthetases). tRNAs cope with the degeneracy of the genetic code in two manners: having more than one tRNA (with a specific anti-codon) for a particular amino acid; and 'wobble' base-pairing, i.e. permitting non-standard base-pairing at the 3rd anti-codon position.
Source: Rfam by way of RNAcentral
UGGCUCAGUGGUAGAGUGCUUGCCUUGCAUGCAUGAGGCCCUGAGUUCUAUUCCUCAG